Ralstonia solanacearum is the source of this 98-nucleotide regulatory RNA element. It matches the Rfam family "Glycine riboswitch aptamer". Rfam says of the family: This family represents the bacterial glycine riboswitch. The record is from Rfam. NCBI's taxonomy places the organism in Bacteria, Pseudomonadati, Pseudomonadota, Betaproteobacteria, Burkholderiales, Burkholderiaceae.
GCCAUCCAUCCGGGAGAGCGCGUCGGCCGCAUACGGCCAGUCGCCGCCGAAGGGGUAGCACCCGAAAACUCUCAGGCAUCCAGGACCGGGUGGAUCGG